This 1342-nucleotide ribosomal RNA is filed under the name uncultured bacterium. RNAcentral describes it as "16S ribosomal RNA". It matches the Rfam family "Bacterial small subunit ribosomal RNA", at positions 28 to 1378 of the family's 1533-position model. The record is from RNAcentral.
GACGAACGCUGGCGGCGUGCUUAACACAUGCAAGUCGAACGGAAAGGCCCUGCUUUUGUGGGGUGCUCGAGUGGCGAACGGGUGAGUAACACGUGAGUAACCUGCCCUUGACUUUGGGAUAACUUCAGGAAACUGGGGCUAAUACCGGAUAGGAGCUCCUGCUGCAUGGUGGGGGUUGGAAAGUUUCGGCGGUUGGGGAUGGACUCGCGGCUUAUCAGCUUGUUGGUGGGGUAGUGGCUUACCAAGGCUUUGACGGGUAGCCGGCCUGAGAGGGUGACCGGCCACAUUGGGACUGAGAUACGGCCCAGACUCCUACGGGAGGCAGCAGUGGGGAAUAUUGCACAAUGGGCGGAAGCCUGAUGCAGCAACGCCGCGUGCGGGAUGACGGCCUUCGGGUUGUAAACCGCUUUCGCCUGUGACGAAGCGUGAGUGACGGUAAUGGGUAAAGAAGCACCGGCUAACUACGUGCCAGCAGCCGCGGUGAUACGUAGGGUGCGAGCGUUGUCCGGAUUUAUUGGGCGUAAAGGGCUCGUAGGUGGUUGAUCGCGUCGGAAGUGUAAUCUUGGGGCUUAACCCUGAGCGUGCUUUCGAUACGGGUUGACUUGAGGAAGGUAGGGGAGAAUGGAAUUCCUGGUGGAGCGGUGGAAUGCGCAGAUAUCAGGAGGAACACCAGUGGCGAAGGCGGUUCUCUGGGCCUUUCCUGACGCUGAGGAGCGAAAGCGUGGGGAGCGAACAGGCUUAGAUACCCUGGUAGUCCACGCUGUAAACGGUGGGUACUAGGUGUGGGGUCCAUUCCACGGGUUCCGUGCCGUAGCUAACGCUUUAAGUACCCCGCCUGGGGAGUACGCCGCAAGGCUAAAACUCAAAGGAAUUGACGGGGCCCCGCACAAGCGGCGGAGCAUGCGGAUUAAUUCGAUGCAACGCGUAGAACCUUACCUGGGUUUGACAUGGAUCGGGAGCGCUCAGAGAUGGGUGUGCCUCUUUUGGGGUCGGUUCACAGGUGGUGCAUGGCUGUCGUCAGCUCGUGUCGUGAGAUGUUGGGUUAAGUCCCGCAACGAGCGCAACCCUUGUUCACUGUUGCCAGCACGUUAUGGUGGGGACUCAGUGGAGACCGCCGGGGUCAACUCGGAGGAAGGUGGGGAUGACGUCAAGUCAUCAUGCCCCUUAUGUCCAGGGCUUCACGCAUGCUACAAUGGCUGGUACAGAGAGUGGCGAGCCUGUGAGGGUGAGCGAAUCUCGGAAAGCCGGUCUCAGUUCGGAUUGGGGUCUGCAACUCGACCUCAUGAAGUCGGAGUCGCUAGUAAUCGCAGAUCAGCAACGCUGCGGUGAAUACGUUCCCGGG